CCUACGGGAGGCAGCAGUGGGGAAUUUUGGACAAUGGGGGAAACCCUGAUCCAGCCAUGCCGCGUGGGUGAAGAAGGCCUUCGGGUUGUAAAGCCCUUUCGGGAGGAAAGAAAAGCAUUGCUCUAACAUAGCAAUGUGAUGACGGUACCUCCAUAAGAAGCACCGGCUAACUACGUGCCAGCAGCCGCGGUAAUACGUAGGGUGCAAGCGUUAAUCGGAAUUACUGGGCGUAAAGCGUGCGCAGGCGGCUAGAUAAGCCAGAUGUGAAAUCCCCGAGCUCAACUUGGGUAUCGCGCUUGGAACUGUCUAGCAAGAGUUUGGCAGAGGGGGGUAGAAUUCCACGUGUAGCAGUGAAAUGCGUAGAGAUGUGGAGGAAUACCGAUGGCGAAGGAAGCCCCCUGGGCUAAAACUGACGCUCAUGCACGAAAGCGUGGGGAGCAAACAGGAUUAGAUACCCUGGUAGUCCACGCCCUAAACGAUGUCAACUGGUUGUUGGGAGGGUAAACCUCUUAGUAACGAAGCUAACGCGAGAAGUUGACUGCCUGGGGAGUACGGUCGCAAGAUUAAAACUCAAAGGAAUUGACGGGGAACCGCACAAGCGGUGGAUUAUGUGGAUUAAUUCGAU
RNAcentral lists this ribosomal RNA (625 nucleotides) under uncultured bacterium. RNAcentral describes it as "bacterial SSU rRNA". It matches the Rfam family "Bacterial small subunit ribosomal RNA", at positions 338 to 955 of the family's 1533-position model. The record is from RNAcentral.